GCCCCCGUAGCUCAAUUGGAUAGAGCGUCUGACUUCGGAUCAGAAGGUUCUGGGUUCGAAUCCUGGCGGGGGCACCG
RNAcentral lists this transfer RNA (77 nucleotides) under Candidatus Kaiserbacteria bacterium RIFCSPHIGHO2_02_FULL_49_16. RNAcentral describes it as "tRNA-Arg". It matches the Rfam family "tRNA". From Rfam's summary of the family: Transfer RNA (tRNA) molecules are approximately 80 nucleotides in length. Their secondary structure includes four short double-helical elements and three loops (D, anti-codon, and T loops). The record is from RNAcentral. Lineage: Bacteria; Candidatus Kaiseribacteriota.